CCCGGUCCCAUUCCGAACCCGGUCGUUACGGCUUCCAGCGCCGAUGGUACUGCACCCGAGGGGGUGUGGGAGAGCAGGACACCGCCAAAC
This 90-nucleotide ribosomal RNA is filed under the name Glycomyces artemisiae. Lineage: Bacteria; Bacillati; Actinomycetota; Actinomycetes; Glycomycetales; Glycomycetaceae. The record is from RNAcentral.